UAGGGAAUCUUCGGCAAUGGGCGAAAGCCUGACCGAGCAACGCCGCGUGAAUGAAGAAGGCCUUCGGGUUGUAAAAUUCUGUUAUAAGGGAAGAAAGGUGAUAGGAGGAAAUGACUAUCAAUUGACGGUACCUUAUGAGAAAGCCACGGCUAACUACGUGCCAGCAGCCGCGGUAAUACGUAGGUGGCAAGCGUUAUCCGGAAUUAUUGGGCGUAAAGAGCGCGCAGGUGGUUAAUUAAGUCUGAUGUGAAAGCCCACGGCUUAACCGUGGAGGGUCAUUGGAAACUGGUUGACUUGAGUGCAGAAGAGGGAAGUGGAAUUCCAUGUGUAGCGGUGAAAUGCGUAGAGAUAUGGAGGAACACCAGUGGCGAAGGCGGCUUCCUGGUCUGCAACUGACACUGAGGCUCGAAAGCGUGGGGAGCAAACAGGAUUAGAUACC
Molecule: ribosomal RNA, 439 nt
Filed under: uncultured bacterium
Lineage: Bacteria
Description: bacterial SSU rRNA
Rfam family: Bacterial small subunit ribosomal RNA
Source: RNAcentral